GGGCCGUUAGCUCAGCUGGUUAGAGCAGAGGACUCAUAAUCCUUUGGUCGUUGGUUCAAGUCCAACACGGCCUACCA
RNAcentral lists this transfer RNA (77 nucleotides) under Rubrivivax sp. RNAcentral describes it as "tRNA-Ile". It matches the Rfam family "tRNA". From Rfam's summary of the family: Transfer RNA (tRNA) molecules are approximately 80 nucleotides in length. Their secondary structure includes four short double-helical elements and three loops (D, anti-codon, and T loops). The record is from RNAcentral. RNAcentral also lists the same sequence under 12 other names. Lineage: Bacteria; Pseudomonadati; Pseudomonadota; Betaproteobacteria; Burkholderiales; Sphaerotilaceae.